RNAcentral lists this ribosomal RNA (501 nucleotides) under uncultured bacterium. RNAcentral's name for it is "partial 16S ribosomal RNA". It matches the Rfam family "Bacterial small subunit ribosomal RNA", at positions 28 to 523 of the family's 1533-position model. The record is from RNAcentral.
GAUGAACGCUGGCGGCAGGCUUAACACAUGCAAGUCGAGCGGAGCGAGGGUGCUUGCACCUUAGCUUAGCGGCGGACGGGUGAGUAAUGCUUAGGAAUCUGCCUAUUAGUGGGGGACAACAUUCCGAAAGGAAUGCUAAUACCGCAUACGCCCUACGGGGGAAAGCAGGGGAUCUUCGGACCUUGCGCUAAUAGAUGAGCCUAAGUCGGAUUAGCUAGUUGGUGGGGUAAAGGCAUACCAAGGCGACGAUCUGUAGCGGGUCUGAGAGGAUGGUCCGCCACACUGGUACUGAGACACGGCCCAGACUCCUACGGGAGGCAGCAGUGGGGAAUAUUGGACAAUGGGCGGAAGCCUGAUCCAGCCAUGCCGCGUGUGUGAAGAAGGCCUUUUGGUUGUAAAGCACUUUAAGCGAGGAGGAGGCUACUUAGAUUAAUACUCUGGGAUAGUGGACGUUACUCGCAGAAUAAGCACCGGCUAACCCUGUGCCAGCCGCCGCAGUAA